GACGAACGCUGGCGGCGUGCUUAACACAUGCAAGUCGAACGCUGAAGCACUAGCUUGCUGGUGUGGAUGAGUGGCGAACGGGUGAGUAAUACGUGAGUAACCUGCCCUUGACUCUGGGAUAAGCCCGGGAAACUGGGUCUAAUACUGGAUGCUACAUGUCACCGCAUGGUGGUGUGUGGAAAGGGUUUGCUGGUCUUGGAUGGGCUCACGGGCUUUAAGCUUGUUGGUGAGGUAAUGGCUCACCAAGGCGACGACGGGUAGCCGGCCUGAGAGGGUGACCGGCCACACUGGGAAUGAGGCACGGCCCAGACUCCCACGGGGGGCAGGAGUGGGGAAAAUUGCACAAAGGGCGAAAGCCUGAUGCAGCGAAGCCGCGGGAGGGAGGACGGGCUUCGGGUUGUAAACCUCGUUCAGCAGGGAAGAAGCCACAAGUGACGGUACCUGCAGAAGAAGCGCCGGCUAACUACGUG
This 470-nucleotide ribosomal RNA is filed under the name uncultured bacterium. Its description in RNAcentral is "partial 16S ribosomal RNA". It matches the Rfam family "Bacterial small subunit ribosomal RNA", at positions 28 to 507 of the family's 1533-position model. The record is from RNAcentral.